This is a long non-coding RNA of Pristis pectinata (smalltooth sawfish), 291 nucleotides long. RefSeq lists it as uncharacterized. The transcript is spliced from 3 exons. Lineage: Eukaryota; Metazoa; Chordata; Chondrichthyes; Rhinopristiformes; Pristidae. The record is from RefSeq and is a predicted model, not a curated record.
CUCAAACCCAAGGAAAGGAGGAGGGGUGGAGAUUUUCUGUUUGCAGUUCCUAGUCAUUGGGAACACCAACAGAUUCACUGGAUUUGCCCAGGGCCAAGAACUGUGCACAAAGAAGUUGCUGUUGUUGACUUGAAGAACCUCGAAUCAUCUAAAUGCAGAAGUUUCCAGUGUAGAAGAGUCAAAUGGCAAAUUGGAAUGGCACACCAACAGAUUCACCUUACCCCAAGGUCUGCGAAGGGGCCGUCGUACAGAGCCAGCUGUGCCACCCGACACCUGUCCCUGUUUGCCAGU